This 74-nucleotide transfer RNA is filed under the name Apaloderma vittatum (bar-tailed trogon). It matches the Rfam family "tRNA". From Rfam's summary of the family: Transfer RNA (tRNA) molecules are approximately 80 nucleotides in length. The record is from Rfam by way of RNAcentral. Lineage: Eukaryota; Metazoa; Chordata; Aves; Trogoniformes; Trogonidae.
GGCUGGUUAGCUCAGUCGGUUAGAGCGUGGUGCUGAUAACACCAAGGUGGCGGGUUCAAUCCCUGCUCGUUCCC